This 467-nucleotide ribosomal RNA is filed under the name uncultured bacterium. RNAcentral describes it as "partial 16S ribosomal RNA". It matches the Rfam family "Bacterial small subunit ribosomal RNA", at positions 28 to 506 of the family's 1533-position model. The record is from RNAcentral.
GAUGAACGCUGGCGGCGUGCUUAACACAUGCAAGUCGAACGGUGAAGGCGGAGCUUGCUCUGCUGGAUCAGUGGCGAACGGGUGAGUAACACGUGAGCAAUCUGCCCCUGACUCUGGGAUAAGCGCUGGAAACGGCGUCUAAUACUGGAUACGAGCUGCGAAGGCAUCUUCAGCAGCUGGCAAGAACUUCGGUCAGGGAUGAGCUCGCGGCCUAUCAGCUUGUUGGUGAGGUACCGGCUCACCAAGGAGUGGAUGGGUAGCCGGCCUGAGAGGGAGACCGGCCACAGAGGCACUGGGACACGGCCCAGACGCCUACGGGAGGCAGGAGCGAGGAAUAGUGCAAAAUGGGCGGCGUCCGGAUGCAGCAACGCCGCGUGGGGGAGGACGGCAUGCGGGGUGGAAACCUCUUUUGGCAAGGAAGAGGCGAUAUGAACGGUACCAGAAAAAAAAGCCCCGCCAAACUACUG